Molecule: long non-coding RNA, 970 nt
Filed under: Salmo salar (Atlantic salmon)
Lineage: Eukaryota; Metazoa; Chordata; Actinopteri; Salmoniformes; Salmonidae
Description: lncRNA (ENSSSAG00000103831.1)
Source: RNAcentral
AGAGGGGGGUCACUUCUUUUGUCCCCCGUGCAGGUCCUGUUCGAUUCAAGAUAAUGAAGAGGGACAUUUCAAAGGUAACGUCCAUAAUGUGGUUAUUAUGGUUCCCUUGCCCUCGAGUAUCAUUAAGGGGGAGUAGAGUUGCCUGACGACUCAAACUGAAUUCUUCCACUGUUCUAUGUUCGCUACAUUAGUCUGAGACUGGCGUCGUUGAAGUUGUUCGUUGUGACGUCAAAAUGAGGGGUGAUGUACAAAACAAAGUCAUCAGAGAUUGGAUCAUCUCUAACCAAUCAGAGUAUCAAAGCCAAUGACACAUUUUGGAAACGCCACUUUAACCACGUGUGUUCUGGCUUUGGUCCCUCCCAGAGGUUUCUGGGACCAAUCAGAACAGUUAGAUUGUGUUUGCGUUCUAGAAAUCAUCUGGGAAGUACUCAGAUCCAGACUCAUUGCGGAGAAGAAACUAACGUUCGUGUACAUUGUGUAACAUUUAGCUGGAACAAGGAAUAGCUGGCUUUGGUUGGAGUGUGGUGUUGAUGUGUGUGGGGUGAGGGCAGAAAGAGAGGAGAGAGAUUGUGGCAAAGGUGACGAGAGAAAAAGAAAGGAGAGGGACAAGGACUGAGAGAAGUAAGGAGAGAGAGGGAUGGGGAUCUGAGAGCGGUAGGGGGAGAGCGAUAUAGGGGGAGAGAGAUGUAGGGGGAUCUGAGAGAGGUAGAGGGAGAGAUGUAGGGGGAGAGAGAUGUAGGGGGAUCUGAGAGAGGUAGAAGGAGAGAUGUAGGGGGAGAGAGAUGUAGGGGGAUCUGAGAGAGGUAGAGGGAGAGAUGUAGGGGGAGAGAGAUGUAGGAGGAGAGAGAGGUAUGGGGAGAGAGGUAGGAGGGGAGAGAGGUAGGGGGAGAGAGGUAGGAGGAGAGAGAGGUAUGGGGAGAGAGGUGGGGGAGAGAGGUAGGGGGGAGAGAGGUGGGGGAGAGAGGUAGAG